Molecule: ribosomal RNA, 458 nt
Filed under: uncultured bacterium
Lineage: Bacteria
Description: partial 16S ribosomal RNA
Rfam family: Bacterial small subunit ribosomal RNA
Source: RNAcentral
CCUACGGGAGGCAGCAGUGAGGAAUAUUGGUCAAUGGGCGAGAGCCUGAACCAGCCAAGUCGCGUGAGGGAGUACUGCCCUAUGGGUUGUAAACCUCUUUUGUCGGGGAGCAAAAGCCGGACGUGUCCGGCUGUGAGAGUACCCGAAGAAAAAGCAUCGGCAAACUCCGUGCCGGCAGCCGCGGUAAUACGUAGGAUGCCAGCGUUAUCCGGAUUUAUUGGGUUUAAGGGGGGCGCAGGCGGAUUAUUAAGUCAACGGUAAAAUCGGGGGGCUAAACCCCAUCCAGCCGUUGAAACGGGGGGUCGAGAGUGUGCGAGAGGUAUGCGGAAUGCGUGGUGUAGCGGUGAAAGGCAUAGAGAUCACGCAGAACACCGAUUGCGAAGGCAGCAUACCGGUGCACAACUGACGCUCAGGCACGAAAGCGUGGGUAUCGAACAGGAUUAGAUACCCGUGUAGUC